Non-coding RNA from Parasteatoda tepidariorum (common house spider), 580 nucleotides. The record is from RefSeq and is a predicted model, not a curated record. Lineage: Eukaryota; Metazoa; Arthropoda; Arachnida; Araneae; Theridiidae.
UAAUUUUGAAUUUCUCUUUUUGACUUACAUGAUUAUGCAUGAUGUAUCAAAACUUUACUCGUAGCCUAAUAAAUGUCGCUAGUAAAAUCUCUGUUAUUUUACUUCUUCAAUGUUGGCGGGUAUGUAUUACAUUCAUGUGAUUGAUCAUUGUUUUGAAUGUACAUACAUUUAUUUUGCAGCUGCUGUGAAUUCUUUGGCUAAGUUUGGCGCUCACUGUGAAGAGCUUCUCCCAAAUAUUUUAGUCCUUCUGCAGAGGAGCUUCCAGGAUUGUGAUGAUGAAGUGAGAGCAACCUACUAUUUAAAUAUCCUAAAUCAGAAACAAAAAGGACUCCCAAUUCAUCUUGAAUGAUCAAUUAUCGGCAGUUCCGGAACUCUCUUCAUUGAACUUGGGUCCAUUGUUUAAAUCUUCUCUUCCUAUUGAACUCACUGAGUCUGAGACUGAGUUUGUUGUUCGAUGCAUUAAACACACAUUCACUCACCAUGUUGUGUUGCAGUAAGUGGAACCUUGAGUAACACAUUAAAGUACUGAGUUGAGAUUGUGAUCUAAACUGUGGGGAACCAGAUGAUGAAGAAGAUGAAU